Non-coding RNA from Octopus bimaculoides (California two-spot octopus), 119 nucleotides. The record is from Rfam. Lineage: Eukaryota; Metazoa; Mollusca; Cephalopoda; Octopoda; Octopodidae.
AUAUACGGUCAUAUCACGUUGAAAGCACCGGUUCUUGUCCAAUCACCGAAGUUAAGCAACGUCGAGCCUAGUUAGUACUUAGAUGGAUGACCGCUUGAGAAACCUAGGUGCUGUAAGCA